AUUGAGUUUGAUCAUGGCUCAGAUUGAACGCUGGCGGCAUGCUUUACACAUGCAAGUCGAACGGUAACAGGCCUUCGGGUGCUGACGAGUGGCGAACGGGUGAGUAAUGCAUCGGAACGUGCCCGGUCGUGGGGGAUAACGCAGCGAAAGCUGUGCUAAUACCGCAUACGAUCUGAGGAUGAAAGCGGGGGACCGAGCAGCAAUGUUUGGCCUCGCGCGAUCGGAGCGGCCGAUGUCGGAUUAGCUGGUUGGUGGGGUAAAGGCCUACCAAGGCGACGAUCCGUAGCUGGUCUGAGAGGACGACCAGCCACACUGGGACUGAGACACGGCCCAGACUCCUACGGGAGGCAGCAGUNGGGAAUUUUGGACAAUGGGCGCAAGCCUGAUCCGGCAAUGCCGCGUG
Molecule: ribosomal RNA, 403 nt
Filed under: uncultured beta proteobacterium
Lineage: Bacteria; Pseudomonadati; Pseudomonadota; Betaproteobacteria
Description: bacterial SSU rRNA
Rfam family: Bacterial small subunit ribosomal RNA
Source: RNAcentral